Molecule: ribosomal RNA, 392 nt
Filed under: uncultured bacterium
Lineage: Bacteria
Description: partial 16S ribosomal RNA
Rfam family: Bacterial small subunit ribosomal RNA
Source: RNAcentral
AUACGGAGGAUCCGAGCGUUAUCCGGAUUUAUUGGGUUUAAAGGGUGCGCAGGCGGCCAUUUAAGUCAGCGGUUAAAUCGUGGGGCUCAACCCCAUUCUGCCGUUGAUACUGGGUGGCUUGAUUGCGGUCGAGGUUGGCGGAAUUCGUUGUGUAGCGGUGAAAUGCAUAGAUAUGACGAAGAACACCGAUUGCGUAGGCAGCUGACCAGACCGCAAACGACGCUCAUGCACGAAAGUGCGGGGAUCGAACAGGAUUAGAUACCCUGGUAGUCCGCACAGUAAACGAUGAAUACUUGUUUUCGGCGAUAUAAUGUCGGAGGCAAAGCGAAAGCGAUAAGUAUUCCACCUGGGGAGUACGCCGGCAACGGUGAAACUCAAAUGAAUUGACGGGG